AGAGUUUGAUCAUGGCUCAGGACGAACGCUGGCGGCGUGCCUAAUACAUGCAAGUCGAGCGGGUUUACCCUUCGGGGUAAGCUAGCGGCGGACGGGUGAGUAACACGUAGGUAACCUGCCUUCAAGAUCGGGAUAACUAUCGGAAACGAUAGCUAAGACCGGAUAGCUGGUUUUCUCGCAUGAGAGAAUCAUGAAACGCGGAGCAAUCUGUGGCUUGAAGAUGGGCCUGCGGCGCAUUAGCUAGUUGGUGAGGUAACGGCUCACCAAGGCGACGAUGCGUAGCCGACCUGAGAGGGUGAACGGCCACACCGGGACUGAGACACGGCCCAGACUCCUACGGGAGGCAGCAGUAGGGAAUCUUCCGCAAUGGACGCAAGUCUGACGGAGCAACGCCGCGUGAGUGAUGAAGGUUUUCGGAUCGUAAAGCUCUGUUGCCCUAGACGAACAGCAUGAGGAGUAACUGCCUUGUGUGUGACGGUAUAGGAGAAGAAAGCCCCGGCUAACUACGUGCCAGCAGCCGCGGUAAUACGUAGGGGGCAAGCGUUGUCCGGAAUUAUUGGGCGUAAAGCGCGCGCAGGCGGUCAUUUAAGUCUGGUGUUUAAGCCCGGGGCUCAACCCCGGUUCGCAUCGGAAACUGGAUGACUUGAGUGUAGGAGAGGAAAGUGGAAUUCCACGUGUAGCGGUGAAAUGCGUAGAGAUGUGGAGGAACACCAGUGGCGAAGGCGACUUUCUGGCCUAUAACUGACGCUGAGGCGCGAAAGCGUGGGGAGCAAACAGGAUUAGAUACCCUAGUAGUCC
Molecule: ribosomal RNA, 798 nt
Filed under: uncultured bacterium
Lineage: Bacteria
Description: bacterial SSU rRNA
Rfam family: Bacterial small subunit ribosomal RNA
Source: RNAcentral